CCACAGAAUAUACAAAGAAAAGAGGUGUCUUUAGACAUAUCCAAAAUAUAUAACCAGUGUAUUUCAAACAAGGAUUCUUUUGAUAUCAGAAAGUGGGUCAGCAGUCACCCACAAGGCAAACAGCUCUGUGACAACUUGGAUAGGGGUUCCUACAAGACUGAAGACAGGCAGCUGCUAGUUAGGAUAGUCUGUUCAAAAUUAGUAAACUUAUGUGGAACUGUCUACCCAUCCUCAGAAUGGAAGGAACGUACUGCAGAGGCAUUAGUAGAUGCAUUUCCAUUGUUAAAAUCAAAAAGAUUCCCACAUGGGCAUGAAAGCUUCUAUGAUAAGACCACAGGAAUAAGCUUUAUAGAAUAGGCCUGAAAACGCUUAGGAAGUCCAUCAAAGAAAAAAAGGAUUAGCCAAAACUUCAAAAAUCUGCAGAAUAGAACCAUCUCUUGAAACAGAACGUUUGACUAAAGAGGAUUUAGAAGAAAAGAUAAUGUGGAUGAAAUUUAAAAAUCCCAUAGAACCCAAUAGACAGGCGAUUUCAGAUAUAUU
Molecule: long non-coding RNA, 540 nt
Organism: Stegodyphus dumicola
Lineage: Eukaryota; Metazoa; Arthropoda; Arachnida; Araneae; Eresidae
Source: RefSeq, a predicted model, not a curated record